GCGGGUUGUUAAGGAGCUACUUCCGGUCGCUCGCUGGCAGUUGAUCACCAUAAAUGGGUCACAUUGGACUUGGCUGAUCGGAGUGGAGAAUUCAAGAUUGUUUAGCUACAAAACGGUAAUUUAUUCCAGGAAUCAUGGGGGACAACUUAGCACAUGAAGCUGAACUAAAUGGUUUGAUAAAAGAGUAUUUAAAGUUUGCGGCUUUUGUGGAAACUGUGAAUAUGUUUGAUAAGGAAUGCAAAAGCAAGGGAAAGGCAAUCCCAAAACCACCAAUGAGCGCUGACCAAGAUUUUAAGACUUCACACAUUCAGGGAGAUUUGCUUAAAGCGUUUGAAGAUGGAAACAGAAAUGUAUUUUUCAAACUGUGGGAACAGCAUAUUUCACCUCGAGUUAGAGAUGAUGAGCAACUGCCCCAGAAAUUGGAGUUUUACCUUCAUGUUCAUUUUGCCAUCUUUCCUCUGAAAAAUUCUGGAAAGCCUGACAAAGAUGAUGUGGAUGAAAGAGUAUCGCAUUUCAAAAACUAUCUAGAAACCAGAGGUGCUGCAUUAAGUCAGACAACAGAGUUUUUACCCUUUUAUGCACUGCCAUUUGUCCCCAAUCCCACAGUGCACCCCUCUUUUAAGGAGCUUUUUCAGGAUUCGUGGUCUCCUGAAUUGAAAAUGAGACUGCAAAAAUUUCUGUCUGCAAGUUUGAAAGUGAUCAAUGUCCCAAAGCUGAUGUCUUUAUUUAAAGAAAAUGGACAGAAUUCCAAAGAAUUGUUGCAACAACUUCAGCAACAGUUAGUAGAGACUGAGAGAAAAGCAGCGACAUAUAUUAAAAGAUACAGCAAGAUGCAAGAGGAUUACCACAGUCUGAUUGGAGUCACUGCAGAGCUGGUAGAUUCCUUGGAAGCUACAGUAAAUGGAAAAAUGAUCACACCAGAAUAUCUUCAGAGUGUCUGUGUGCGACUGUUUAGCAACCAAAUGAGACAAAGCAUUGACUUCACAAGACCAGGAACUGAUGUUUACUUUAAGAGCCCUUGUAACAGUGAAGGAUCUGCAUCAUCCAUGCUGAGGGCAUCCAUCGUUCCUACCACGAAAUCUAAAGAUGUACCUUUAUUACCAUCUCUUGAUUAUGAAAAGUUGAAGAAUGAUUUGAUCUAUGGAAAUGAUCGACUUAAGGCACUUCUUUUGCAAGCACUGCGUUGGCGGCUGACACAGUCUCAUCCUGGAGAGCAAAGGGAUACAGUUCUUCAGGCUUACGUUAGCAAUGAUCUGCUGGAAUGUCACAAUAAGAGCCAGAGAAGCCUAAUUAAUUUGUUAAAUUCAAAGAGUGAGAUUGUCAGACAGUAUACAGCACGACUAAUCAAUGGUUUUGCAUCGCUGUCACAUGGCCGAACGUAUUUGGCGCAGAGCACAGUGUUAUUGAAGAUACUUGAAGAAGCACUGGAGAUUGAAGAGGAGGAUUCCAUAACUAGAGAAAAUGUGUUAGGAGCCCUACAGAAACUUAGUCUCAGACGAGCACUGCAGUCAGCUAUGGUCAGAGAUAACAUUAUUUUCUGGCUGCUGAGCGUACUGGAGGAUUCGGAUUCAUUGUCAGAUUACACUUUGGAAUAUUCUGUUGCACUGUUUAUGAACCUCUGCCUUCGGACCCAAGGUAAACGGAAAUGUGUAGAAGAUGCAAGACGAGUGUUGAAAGUAUUGUCUGAUCUUUUGGGUCAUGAAAAUCAUGAGAUAAGGCCAUAUGUUAAUGGAGCUUUAUACAGCAUCCUUGCCAUCCCUUCAAUACGUGAGGAGGCAAAAGCAAUGGGCAUGGAAGAAAUUCUGCGAUGUUUUAUUAAAGAAGGGAAUACUGAGAUGAACAGACAGCUUGAGUUUAUUAUAAAGCAGCUCAAUUCAGAGGAGUUGCUUGAAGAAUCAGAUUCUGAUGAUGAAGAGGAAGAGGAUGAUGCUGAAGAUGAUCAGGAUGCAAUGGAAGCGGACCUGGAUAAGGCUGAAAUAUUAAAACCUCAGCCUGGAGAGUUAUCAGGUGAAAAAUUACUGACAGCUGAGUAUCUAGGGAUAAUGACAAACACAAUGAAGGCUAGGAGGAAGCCACUGCCACUUUUGAAUGAAAGUGUUGAUGAACCUCUCCGGCGACCAGUUACACCUAGCAUGCACAGAGUGGGUUAUACAUCGUUAGGAGCUGCUCUAAAUAAACAUGAAAGCAGAAGCCCCAGCACAGGGAGCAACCUCUAUUCGCGGCAGAGCAUUCGGCCACCAACUCGAAGUGGGAGCAGAACAAGCGUUUCCGAGCUUGGUGCUUCUCCUGUCAGCAAUAACUGAUUGAAUGCUAAGCAUCCAAGACAAUAAGAAUCUGAAAUUUCUUACCAACACUGCAAGACAAUCAAUCAAAACUCCAAGCUUUCAAUCCAACAUUGUAGCCAACUUCAUUCUACCUUCACGAGCUGCACUCUACAGAUGAUAUUUAUGUCCUCCCAACAGGACAGGAACCAGUUUUGAUCGCAACACAUCACAGUUGGGUUCUCCAGUUGGUGAUUUUGAUCAGGAUCUAACAGCAGCUACAAGUUUGUUAGGUAUCAGGUCUUUUGACAGAUUGAGUCGACAGUCUAUCAGGCAAAAUGAUUAUGAAGUUGCAUUUGACAGUAGGCCCAGGAUUCCUAGGACUCCAGAUGUUUCUACUAGCCCAAGAAAGAUCAAAACUCCAACAAUUGCCCCUCAGUUUUCUCAGUCUGGUCCGCAACAGACAAGCCGUCCAAGUUCUGGAGGGUCCUCUAACAGAAGCAAACAGAGCAGCCAGUCAUACAGGAAAUGACAAUGGAUCUUUCCUCAGGAAUCACCUGCUGAAUUCUUCAAUAUGUGGCCAACUUCCUGUAAAGAUCCUCCUCAUCACAUACUGUCUACAGAACUGGAGUUACAAAAUUAAAUAAAAGAGAGAUUAUGUUGUCCGUACACAGCAUGUAUUUUUUGUAUUCCAUAACAGAAUUCUUUGGCAAUAAUUCCAGAAAUGUAAAUAAUGUAGAAUAAUUUAUCCCUUUGUUCUUUAUUAUGCUUUCGUAAGUGGUAUUUUUAUUUUGAGAAGGUCUUAAAUUUUGUGUUUGAGUUUUGUUCAUUUGUUUUGUAAUGCUUUUUGUGAGGAUCUUUUAUUAUUUCCUUCAUAUUGUUGUGGUAAUGAAAUGAAUAAAAGAUCAUUGCUCUGAAAGUGCAGCACAA
Carcharodon carcharias (great white shark) is the source of this 3191-nucleotide RNA transcript. It is a transcript of the gene named lisH domain-containing protein ARMC9, with no coding region annotated. Lineage: Eukaryota; Metazoa; Chordata; Chondrichthyes; Lamniformes; Lamnidae. The record is from RefSeq and is a predicted model, not a curated record. The transcript is spliced from 27 exons.